CAUCAAUCCCUCCCCGCCGCCACUCCUCGUCCUCCUCGGGAUCCCUCCCGAUCCACCCAUUCCACCAACCAGAGACUUCCCUGCUCGAUCCCAAGGGGAUCACGAGCAGCUCAUCCCCGCUGCCGACGGACCAGGCCGGACCUCGCGCCCCUGCCCUUUCUCUUCCUUUCUUCUUCUUCCCGUGCCUCACAUCUCUCUGUUUCCUCUCGUUCUCUCUCCCGCAGGAGCCCAUGGCGAGCCUGACCGAGCCCCUCACAUGGCGCCCUCGUGCCCGAGCUCUUCAUCAGCCCCGCGUCACCGGAGUCAAGCCACCGGCCGCCCGAGCCUUGUGCGCCUCUGCCUCGAGGACCUCCUCGUCCCCAACCAGGACGCCAUGGUCGGCCUCCUCUGUUCGUCCUCUGCCUCGUGCGCGACCCCGUCGGCCGGAUCUGCUCGAGCACGCCGUCCCCUGGGCCUCAAACUCCUCCUGCCGGAGCCGCAAGUCCCGUGCCUCUGCGUUCAGCGCCGCCGUUUGCAUCCCGCCUGAACGGAUCGAGUGAUCCUGCUCAUCCCGCGCGCCGCCAAGCCCGACCUCGCCUCUGCUUUGUCCUGUUCGAGGGAAUGAGCGAGCGGCUUGCCUCUGCUCCACCUCCCCCGUUUCGGUCGCCAUCUCCGGCGAGUGCAGACGCCAGUGUAGCCCCGCAGGAGAACCCCGUCGCCAGUACGCAUGGGAGCCACCUCCUGCCGUCGCUCGGAGAUGACGCCCCUUCGCCCGUCCUCGCCGGAUUGAGCAGCCUCCGCGCCCCUGCCAAGCCCGCCUCCUGUCACCAAGCGCUGCCGCUGCCGGACGCCCUGCGGCGUCGACCUGCUCUCAGCGCCGAUGCUUCCUCUGCUUCGCUCGACUGGAUGCAGCCGCUCGCCCCGUUGACCGCGCGAGCCCGUCAGCGCAUCUCUGCCUCGCUGGCCAAGGCCCAGCCUGCUCCAGCUCCCCAACCGGCCUGCUACCUCCUCCACCGAACGGGCCAAGGCCUACUGGCUUCGGUUUCGUUCCGGAGUUGUGAGGAUUCGUUCGACUACAUUCGUUUGUCUUCUUCAUGGACUCGUUCUUCUUCCUAGCGGGAUCUCAGUUGCAGGUGCCAAUGAUACCAGUGCAGGUGACGCAACCGAACUCAAGUGGGAGCUCGAUGAAGAUCUUGUUCGUUGUGUUGUUUCUUUUCAUUUUGAUCAGUAGUGGUGCCCAGUUGGGACGAUCAGGGAUCUAGCAGUUGGGUUGUCUUCUUUUAUUUUGGUUCCGUAGUCGGACCUAUGUGUGUACUCUGAAUGAUGUAUGAAUUUAUUAUGUAUUGUGUGAAGUGGCGAUUGUAAGCCAACUCUUUAUCCCAU
This 1362-nucleotide ribosomal RNA is filed under the name Triticum aestivum (bread wheat). Its description in RNAcentral is "partial small subunit ribosomal RNA". The record is from RNAcentral. Lineage: Eukaryota; Viridiplantae; Streptophyta; Magnoliopsida; Poales; Poaceae.